RNAcentral lists this small nuclear RNA (239 nucleotides) under Erinaceus europaeus (western European hedgehog). Its description in RNAcentral is "7SK RNA". It matches the Rfam family "7SK RNA". Rfam says of the family: 7SK was discovered as an abundant small nuclear RNA in the mid-70s but a possible function has only recently been suggested. The record is from Rfam by way of RNAcentral. Lineage: Eukaryota; Metazoa; Chordata; Mammalia; Eulipotyphla; Erinaceidae.
GAAUGUGAGGGCAAUCCGGCUGCCACAUCUGUCACCCCACUGAUCACUAGGGUUGAUUUGGCUGGUGUGGCUGGCUAGGCAGGGGUCCCCUUCCUCCCUUACCAUACCAUGUGCAUCUCUCGAAGAAGAAGGUAUAGGAGUAGCUAUGCUUUCCAGUCGGAACCUCCAAACAAGCUCUCAAGAACUUGAGUUGUCUCUCCCUGGAGGUUACACUGAAUCCCUCCAGGAGAUUGCACCCU